CAUCCCUCUGUGCACGAGGCCCCCUGAUAGCUCCUUGCAGGUUCAAUUUCCUCUUCUUAUAAGAACAGCAGGCAGAUUGGAGUAGGGCUCACCCUAAUGGUCUCUUUAAACUUAAUCGCCUCUUUAGAAAUCCAUUCUCUAAAUACAGUCACAUUCUGAGGUGUUACGGGUUAGGGCUCCAACAUACGAGUUUUGGGGAAGCACACUGCCGCCCAUACAAGAAGUCUUCUCAAAAUGGACGGUGUGUUAGCAAUCCACCAGUCCUAUUUGAAACCCUUUCCCUCGGUGUGCGGGACCAAGGUGAGGCACACUGGACCCUCUCUUUCCUUCCCCUCAGCUCCCUCAUCGCCUCACACAGCUCUCCAAGAGGCAGCUGACCCUAUGGACCCAACCGCCUCUCCGAAGAGUAGCUGCGCCCUUGGUAAAGGAGGAAAUGGAAAAGGAGAAACUCAGUGAUCUCAGACAGACUGAAGCCAAGAAAUAGAUUUGAAAAGUUCCAGAAAUUCUCUCACUUUGGAGACGCCCCCACACACACUGCACCCUGCCACCUUUAAAAACCCCUGCUUGGAAGCCAUCAGGGAGUUCGGGUCUUAAGCGAUAGCUGCUCAUUCUCCUUGGCUCUGCUCACUGCAAUAAAUGUCUCACUUUCUCUCACUGC
RNAcentral lists this long non-coding RNA (658 nucleotides) under Macaca nemestrina (pig-tailed macaque). RNAcentral's name for it is "lncRNA (ENSMNEG00000046179.1)". Lineage: Eukaryota; Metazoa; Chordata; Mammalia; Primates; Cercopithecidae. The record is from RNAcentral.